Molecule: ribosomal RNA, 460 nt
Filed under: uncultured bacterium
Lineage: Bacteria
Description: partial 16S ribosomal RNA
Rfam family: Bacterial small subunit ribosomal RNA
Source: RNAcentral
CCUACGGGAGGCAGCAGUGAGGAAUAUUGCUCAAUGGACGCAAGUCUGAUCCAGCCAUGCCGCGUGCAGGAAGACGGCUCUAUGCGUUGUAAACUGCGUUUGUACGAGGGUAAACGCAGGUACGCGUAUCUGUCUGACAGUAUCAUACCAAUCAAGAUCGGCUAACUCCGUGCCAGCAGCCGCGGUAAUACGGAUGUUUCAAGCGUUAUCCGGAUUUAUUGGGGUUAACGGGUGCGUAGGCGGUCGGAUAAGUUAGAGGUGAAAUCCCGAGGCUCAACUUCGGAAUUGCGUUUGAUACUGUUCGGCUAGAGAGUAGGUGCGGUAGGCGGAAUGCAUGGUGUAGCGGUGAAAUGCGUAGAGAUCAGAAAGAACACCGAUGGCGAAGGCAGCUUACCAAGCUACUUCUGACGUUGAGGCACGAAAGCGUGGGGAGCAAACAGGAUUAGAUACCCGAGUAGUC